RNAcentral lists this long non-coding RNA (251 nucleotides) under Phoenix dactylifera (date palm). Its description in RNAcentral is "long non-coding RNA (PDAC_LNC015533)". The record is from RNAcentral. Lineage: Eukaryota; Viridiplantae; Streptophyta; Magnoliopsida; Arecales; Arecaceae.
CCUAAUAAGCCCACAAAUAACACAAAUAAACCACAAAUAAGCCCUAAAAUGCAAAUAAACCCAGAAAUAAAAUAAACCACAAAUAAAUCCCAAAAUGCAAAUAAACCCAGAAAUAAAAUAAAAUAAAUAUGCAAAUAAAAGGGUCUGACUCAAUCCGGGGGCUCAGGAUCAUCUGGAUGAAGGGCUCUGAUGUCCCCAUCAACUCCUCCCGGGUGAGAAAAACUCGACCCCGUCGAGUACAGGUCUGGCCG